AAUCAACGCUGGCGGCGUGCCUAACACAUGCAAGUCGAGCGGGAAAGGGGACUUCGGUCCCUGAGUAUAGCGGCGGACGGGUGAGUAACACGUGGGUAAUUUGCCCUUGGGUGUGGAAUAACUCAGGGAAACUUGAGCUAAUACCGCAUGAUAUCCUCUUCGCACACGAGUCGAGGAUCAAAGCCGGGGACCCUUCGGGGCCUGGCGCCUGAGGAGAAGCCCGCGCCCGAUUAGCUAGNGGUGAGGUAAUGGCUCACCAAGGCUUCGAUCGGUAGCCGGCCUGAGAGGGCGGACGGCCACACUGGGACUGAGACACGGCCCAGACUCCUACGGGAGGCAGCAGUGGGGAAUUUUUGUCAAUGGGGGAAACCCUGGACAAGCAACGCCGCGUGGAGGACGAAGACCUCGGUUGUAACUA
This 418-nucleotide ribosomal RNA is filed under the name uncultured bacterium. RNAcentral's name for it is "bacterial SSU rRNA". It matches the Rfam family "Bacterial small subunit ribosomal RNA", at positions 32 to 431 of the family's 1533-position model. The record is from RNAcentral.